This 261-nucleotide ribosomal RNA is filed under the name uncultured archaeon. Its description in RNAcentral is "partial 16S ribosomal RNA". It matches the Rfam family "Archaeal small subunit ribosomal RNA", at positions 748 to 1008 of the family's 1478-position model. The record is from RNAcentral.
AGGGUGUAAACGCUGCAGACUUGGUGUUGGAGGCCCUUUGGGGGCAUUCAGUGCCGGAGAGAAGUUGUUAAGUCUGCUACUUGGGGAGUACGUCCGCAAGGAUGAAACUUAAAGGAAUUGGCGGGGGAGCACCGCAACGGGAGGAGCGUGCGGUUUAAUUGGAUUCAACACCGUAAACUCACCAGGGAAGACUGUUACAUGAAAGCCGAGAUGAAGACUCUGCUAGAUUUUUCAGAGAGGAGGUGCAUGGCGUCAGUGACU